CACGCCGUAAACGAUGAUCACUAGCUGUUGGCGAUAUACCGAUCAGCGGCAAAGCAAAAGCAUUAAGUGAUCCACCUGGGGAGUACGGCCGCAAGGCUGAAACUCAAAGGAAUUGACGGGGGCCCGCACAAGCGGAGGAACAUGUGGUUUAAUUCGAUGAUACGCGAGGAACCUUACCUGGGCUUAAAUGUAGAGUGCAUUUCCGGGAAACCGGAAUUUUCUUCGGAACCCUUUACAAGGUGC
RNAcentral lists this ribosomal RNA (243 nucleotides) under uncultured Owenweeksia sp. RNAcentral's name for it is "partial 16S ribosomal RNA". It matches the Rfam family "Bacterial small subunit ribosomal RNA", at positions 796 to 1041 of the family's 1533-position model. Lineage: Bacteria; Pseudomonadati; Bacteroidota; Flavobacteriia; Flavobacteriales; Owenweeksiaceae. The record is from RNAcentral.